GUGCCAGCCGCCGCGGUAAGACAGAGGGUGCAAACGUUGCUCGGAAUUACUGGGCGUAAAGCGCGUGUAGGCGGGCUGAUAAGUCGGACGUGAGAUCCCUGAGCUCAACUCAGGGACUGCAUUCGAAACUGUCAGUCUGGAGUAGUGGAGAGGAAAGCAGAAUUCCUGGUGUAGAGGUGAAAUUCGUAGAUAUCAGGAGGAACACCGGUGGCGAAGGCGGCUUUCUGGACACUUACUGACGCUGAGACGCGAAAGCGUGGGGAGCAAACAGGAUUAGAUACCCCAGUAGUCC
This 292-nucleotide ribosomal RNA is filed under the name uncultured bacterium. RNAcentral describes it as "partial 16S ribosomal RNA". It matches the Rfam family "Bacterial small subunit ribosomal RNA", at positions 505 to 796 of the family's 1533-position model. The record is from RNAcentral.